CGCAUCAAAUAUUUUUGAAUAAAUGUACUUAAACUUCGAAAGAAUUGAAUGAUGAAAUCCAUAGUUUAAAACUAGAAACCUAUGAAACGAAAUCCUAGUUUUUAUCAGUGGUAUACUUGUAGCAAGGGCUUAAAAGGCUCUUCGGAAAGUUUCCUAUAGAAGUUUCUCUUUACAUCCUAAGCCUUUUCCUACAAUCACAUAAGUACAAUACUGUCCUAUCCCCCCUUUCCGUUGUUAUGUGUACUUUCUCUUUGUCACUUAAUCACCUAACUUAACUAACAUUUUUAAACAAUAAAUGAUACAAGAAUUAAUAUGAUUAUAAUCCACUACUGGCUCCAGUUCCAUGAUUUGAAACAUAUUUUGCUGUCCACACUUUAGUAAAACUCGAUGAUAAGGAACUAUUUUUCAAAAAGUAGGAAGGGUAUUGAGUCUUUGGCUAUACGUACUUGAGUGACUUUUCCCCUCCAGAACUUUCUACAUAACUAACAUUCCGGCAGAAAAAAGUUAGUAAUUUUAAUUAUGAAUACAGAGGGCUUAGGACGUUAUGUCAAAACGUUUUGGCUCCUCAUCACGUCACCACAAUCCAUGUCGCCACGUCUGGUCAUGCACUGUCUGACGACCAUGAAUCUUGACAAUAGCCCUGCAGCGUAGUAUCAGUUGCAAAAGACUUCAUCGUGAGACUGUCAUGUCCAAAGCACACAACUCCCUGUUUUCUGGCUUUCCAUACUCUUUCUUGUUUACGAGGACGACGGUUUCCGAGCGCCUGUUUCAACAGUCCGCUCGCUCAGAAACCCAUUCGUAUUGCGUUUGUCGAUUUCACCUGUAUGUCUCCAGCUGCUUGAUGUAUGUGGAAACUGGAAUGAUAUAUCAUAGAAGAACUCGUGUAUACUUGACAUGUGUCACUUUUACAAACUGAGAUCCAUCUUGAUGACGUGGUUGGCUUUUGCCACUGGCCUUUGCGUUUGUUGAUACUCACCUGUCACAAGUUGCUGCAUGUUGCUUAUCACAGCUGGGGUAAGACUUGUUACAGGUUUUUUAUAUAAGGUCCUGUACCCCAAGUUGAUCCAUAUUCUUUUAUUUUCAGAUUCCAUUAAGUACAUACACGGAAUAUUCCCGUUGUGAAAAUUCUAUGUCCAGAGCUUGAGACAUCUUCAUGGUGUGAGUGUAUGGAUAUUGAUAUUUUGCAUCAGAAAGCGCUAUUACAUAGCCUUUCCAGAAGCGAUCAAUUUUUGGUGGCAUCACGCUACCUACCAACGCAACGUCAAACAAAGUCAGAAUGUGGUUCUGAUACAUAUCGUUCGUUCCAUCGUGACUUUAUAUUAGCUGUAGUUGUCAUGUGAUUUGCUCAUUCAUUUGCAUAUUCGAAAUCGUUUUAAUAUAAUGAGUUUAACUCUGUAAUACUACUACGUUUUAAAGGCAACACAUAUGAAUAAUGGCAGAAUUUCAACCCUUGUCCCCAAAUACUUUCAUGAUUUCACUCUAGUGAUGAGCUUAAAUAUAUUUCACCCAAAUGUUUAAAGUUUUUUCAAGAAAUUCGACAUGUAUGUGUUAGUGUAUGAACCAUGAAUAAUUGUCAUUCGUGUUGAAUAUUUCAAGUUCAAGUAAAAUGUAUUGUAAAUAAUAAAUAUGGGUGCACAUAGAGUAACCAUAGAUUUAAAUCGUACUAGCUGUGCUUAUUUAAAGCGAUAGAGAUAUAACGUUACAAGUAGUAUUUAUCUCUCUAGCUACCUAUAGAAAUUGAAUAUUUGUAAAGACUUUGAUCAUAAUCAUUCAUUUCUCAACUUUCGAAAAGUAUUGUGGCACAACGGUAUGUUUACGGACUUACAACGCUAGGAACCGGAUUUCGAUACCCGUGGUAGGCAGAGCUCAGAUAUCCCAUUGUGUAUCUUUGUGCUUAAUUAUAACCAGCCAAACAACAACCAACCAAAAAGUAUUAAAGCUUAUCGAGAGAAAGCAAUCACUUCUCAGACCAGCGUCCUCAUAAAACCAUAACUCCACCCUCACAGACCCAUGAAGAGCUUGAUCUGAUCAGAUGACACUUCCGUAACCCCAUCCCUAGAGCGUGUAGAUAAUUUCUAGACGUUGUUGUUAUGGUUUACUGUGUGCGUGCAGCUGUCUAACCAAGCACCCGUGAUGCAGGUGUGUGUGUGCAUAAAAAAAAUUUAACAUCGUGUGUUGAUUUUUGAUAUAUAAACGUGACGUAAUCUCGGAUCAGGUCAGCGCUUGACCAUUUACUUCGUUAUAUAGUAUUAUAUGAUAACGUGCUAUUUCAGUUAACAGUCACAGAAAUCGAACACGUGUAAUAAGGAAAAUACCAGGGAUGUUAUAAGAAUAUCCACCUACGGCUUCUUCAGAAAUAUUGGUACCAAGGCGCUGGAAAAAUAAAACUGAUAGUAUUUAACUUUUGCGCGUUGAACAGAGACUUGUAUGGUUUGUGUUAAGCGUAGAGUUGUUGAGGUUAAAUGGAAAUGUACUGAAAGCGGAUGACGGGGUGGUGCUCACGUGAUGUUUACGUGAACAAUUUCCUUCUCGAUCGUAAGGCUAGAUGGACUUGCUUGUCCAUUUCCUUACUUGAAACCUGCUAAGUCAACUAUCGCUAUUUAGGUUUUUGCAGAGAAAGGUUUCAAGAUUCUUCUCUCGAAUUCGAAGAACCCAAUGUCCAACCUGGACAACAGACGGCGAAUUCACAUAAUUUCUUUUUAAUUUCCUUUUCUUAUUCCAAGGACGAAUCUUCAAAUCGAUUUUACUUCUCUUCUCCUUAUUGGCGAGAAAAUCUUGUGCGCGAUAGGACAACGCUCGAGCUAAAGUUGUGAGACACAGUAUUCAAGAGCGCGAGCCUGGAGACUAUCGUAUUGUUGCCGCAACAGUGGGGGUACAGAAGCUACAGUAGGAAUUUCACUCCACAGCAAGAACCCUUCAACCCUCGAUUCUUUAAAAUCUCGUGGUUAAAGUAAAGAAAAGUCUGAAUUAUAAGAUGUAGCAAAUUUUGUACUAAAAGUCAGGAAAAUUUCGAUCGUCAUCACUGAAGAAGAUAUAGACAACUGCAAUACGAUGCCAGACUCUGUGGACAACACUGAAAAACAGGCGACAUCUGGCGUUAGCGUACAGGUGAUGAACGAGAAACUGCACUCUGCACAAGGUAAAAGAAAACGUUCGCUAUCAAACGCCGAAUAAAAAGAACACUGGAGUGUUUAAACUCACAAAAUACUCUUUAAAAGUUUAAAUUAGUAGAACCACAAUAUCAGUAGAACAAAAACGUGUUACUGUACUUAUUAAAGUACUCAUUCUCAGUAUGGUACAGAAUCGAGAUAA
Long non-coding RNA from Limulus polyphemus (Atlantic horseshoe crab), 3312 nucleotides. RefSeq lists it as uncharacterized. The transcript is spliced from 3 exons. Lineage: Eukaryota; Metazoa; Arthropoda; Merostomata; Xiphosura; Limulidae. The record is from RefSeq and is a predicted model, not a curated record.